AUUGAACGCUGGCGGCAGGCCUAACACAUGCAAGUCGAGCGGAUGAAGGGAGCUUGCUCCUGGAUUCAGCGGCGGACGGGUGAGUAAUGCCUAGGAAUCUGCCUGGUAGUGGGGGAUAACGUCCGGAAACGGGCGCUAAUACCGCAUACGUCCUGAGGGAGAAAGUGGGGGAUCUUCGGACCUCACGCUAUCAGAUGAGCCUAGGUCGGAUUAGCUAGUUGGUGGGGUAAAGGCCUACCAAGGCGACGAUCCGUAACUGGUCUGAGAGGAUGAUCAGUCACACUGGAACUGGGACACGGUCCUGACUCCUACGGGAGGCAGCAGUGGGGAAUAUUGGACAAUGGGCGAAAGCCUGAUCCAGCCAUGCCGCGUGUGUGAAGAAGGUCUUCGGAUUGUAAAGCACUUUAAGUUGGGAGGAAGGGCAGUAAGUUAAUACCUUGCUGUUUUGACGUUACCAACAGAAUAAGCACCGGCUAACUUCGUG
This 484-nucleotide ribosomal RNA is filed under the name uncultured bacterium. RNAcentral's name for it is "partial 16S ribosomal RNA". It matches the Rfam family "Bacterial small subunit ribosomal RNA", at positions 30 to 507 of the family's 1533-position model. The record is from RNAcentral.